UACAGAGGGCGCGAGCGUUGUCCGGAAUCACUGGGCGUAAAGGGCGCGUAGGUGGCCACUGUAAGGCCGUGGUGAAAGUCCGGGGCUCAACCCCGGAUCUGCCGCGGCGACUGCAGGGCUUGGGCACCGUAGAGGCAGAUGGAAUUCCGGGUGUAGCGGUGGAAUGCGUAGAGAUCCGGAAGAACACCGGUGGCGAAGGCGGUCUGCUGGGCGGUGGGGGCGCAAGCUCCCAAUAGCCGACACUGAGGCGCGACAGCGUGGGGAGCAAACAGG
This 273-nucleotide ribosomal RNA is filed under the name uncultured prokaryote. Its description in RNAcentral is "partial 16S ribosomal RNA". It matches the Rfam family "Bacterial small subunit ribosomal RNA", at positions 524 to 776 of the family's 1533-position model. The record is from RNAcentral.